This 1444-nucleotide long non-coding RNA is filed under the name Coturnix japonica (Japanese quail). RNAcentral describes it as "lncRNA (ENSCJPG00005002325.1)". Lineage: Eukaryota; Metazoa; Chordata; Aves; Galliformes; Phasianidae. The record is from RNAcentral.
CUCCUUUUGCUCUGCACUCCCAUGUGUUGCACUGAGUUUGAUUGCAUUGUUUGCUCUGUUCUUGGAGUUGUUUGCUCUGUUCCUUCUGCAUUCCCAUGUGUUGGGAUGAGUUUGCGUUGUUUGCUCUGUUCCUUUUGCUCUGCACCCCCAUGUGUUGCAAUGACUUUGCGUUGUUUGCUCUGUUCUUGGAGCUGCAAGGGCUGUUUGUUUUGCUCUGCACCCCCAUUUGUUGUUGGGAUGAGUUUGAUUGCAUUGUGUCUGUUCCUUUUGCUCUGCACCCCCAUGUGUUGCAAUGACUUUGCGUUGUUUGCUCUGCUCCUUCUGCUCUGCACUCCACGUGUUGGGAUGAGUUUGAUUGCAUUGUUUGCUUUGUUCUUGGAGUUGUUUGCUCUGUUCCUUUUGCAUUCCCAUCUGUUCCUUCUGCACUCCCAUGUGUUGCAAUGAGUUUGCGUUGUUUGCUCUGCUCCCUUUGCUCUGCCCUCCCAUUUGUUGUUGGGAUGACUUUGCGUUGUUUGCUCUGUUCCUUUUGCACUCCCACGUGUUGGGAUGAGUUUUAACUGCAUUGUUUGCUCUGUUCUUGGAGUUGCAAGGGCUGCUCCUUUUGCUCUGCACUCCCAUUUGUUGUUGGGAUGAGUUUGCAUUGUUUGCUCUGUCCCUUUUGCUCUGCACCCCCAUGUGUUGCAAUGACUUUGCGUUGUUUGCUCUGCUCCGUUUGCUCUGCACUCCACGUAUUGGGAUGAGUUUGAUUGCAUUGUUUGCUCUGUUCUUGGAGUUGCAAGGGCUGUUCCUUUUGCAUUCCCAUUUGUUCCUUUUGCAUUCCCAUUUGCAUCUGUUCCUUUUGCACUCCCACGUGUUGGGAUGAGUUUUAACUGCAUUGUUUGCUCUGUUCUUGGGGUUGCAAGGGCUGUUUGUUUUGCUCUGCACUUCCGUUUGUUGUUGGGAUGAGUUUGCAUUGUUUGCUCUGUUCCUUUUGCUCUGCACCCCCAUGUGUUGCAAUGACUUUGCAUUGUUUGCUCUGCUCCCUUUGCUCUGCACCCCCACGCAUUGGGAUGAGUUUGAUUGCAUUAUUUGCUCUGUUGUUAGAGCUGUUUGCUCUGCUCCCUUUGCUCUGCACCCCCAUGCAUUGGGAUGAGUUUGAUUGCAUUAUUUGCUCUGUUCUUGGAGCUGUUUGCUCUGCUCCCUUUGCUCUGCACCCCCACGCAUUGGGAUGUUCUGACUGCGUUGUUUGCUCUGUUGCUCCAUCGCGUCGCGUCGGCCUCGCGAGGCUCAGAAAGGAAAGAAAUUAAACCAAAAUAACAACAAAGCAGCAAAAAAAACUCGCCUACAAUGUGAGGAAAUAGGAACCGCCGCCUUCCUGCCCCUGCUGCUGCUCCAUCACGUGUGUGUGUGUGUGUGUGUGUGUGUGUGUGUGUGUGCAGGGCAGGAAGCCGCAGUGGGACGCAGC